GACGUAGGGCGCGAGCGUUGUCCGGAUUUAUUGGGCGUAAAGAGCUCGUAGGCGGUUUGUCGCGUCUGCUGUGAAAACCUAAGGCUCAACCUUGGGCUUGCAGUGGGUACGGGCAGACUAGAGUGCGGUAGGGGAGACUGGAAUUCCUGGUGUAGCGGUGAAAUGCGCAGAUAUCAGGAGGAACACCGAUGGCGAAGGCAGGUCUCUGGGCCACUACUGACGCUGAGAAGCGAAAGCAUGGGGAGCGAACAGG
Molecule: ribosomal RNA, 253 nt
Filed under: uncultured bacterium
Lineage: Bacteria
Description: partial 16S ribosomal RNA
Rfam family: Bacterial small subunit ribosomal RNA
Source: RNAcentral